AACGAACGCUGGCGGCAUGCCUAACACAUGCAAGUCGGACGAGGAAGCUGCUUCGGCGGUUUUCUAGUGGCGCACGGGUGAGUAACGCGUGGGAACCUGCCCUGUGGUACGGAAUAACUCCGGGAAACUGGAGCUAAUACCGUAUGCGUCCUGCGGGACAAAGAUUGAUCGCCAUGGGAGGGGCCCGCGUAGGAUUAGCUGGUUGGUGGGGUAACGGCCGUACCAAGGCUUCGAUCCUUAGCUGGUCUGAGAGGAUGAUCAGCCACACUGGGACUGAGACACGGCCCAGACUCCUACGGGAGGCAGCAGUGGGGAAUAUUGGACAAUGGGCGCAAGCCUGAUCCAGCAAUGCCGCGUGAGUGAUGAAGGCCU
Molecule: ribosomal RNA, 372 nt
Filed under: uncultured bacterium
Lineage: Bacteria
Description: bacterial SSU rRNA
Rfam family: Bacterial small subunit ribosomal RNA
Source: RNAcentral